UUAAGUUCAGCGGGUAGUCCUACCUGAUUUGAGGUCAAAUGACAUGCACAAAUGUAUGCACAUUGUUGUCUUGUGACGGUUAGAAGCAGUCUCGACUUGAUCAUUAAACAAUGCUUUAGUUUUAAUUAUCACAUUGUGUGUGAUCGAGGCAGAUCGCUAAUGCAUUUAGGAUGAGUCGAAGCUCGCACUUCGACAAACAC
RNAcentral lists this unclassified non-coding RNA (200 nucleotides) under Geastrum sp. RNAcentral's name for it is "partial internal transcribed spacer 2". The record is from RNAcentral. Lineage: Eukaryota; Fungi; Basidiomycota; Agaricomycetes; Geastrales; Geastraceae.